UCUUCUUUGUGCAACCGUAUCUCGGCUUUUGUGGUGUGUCGUCUCAGGCCCGUGGUCCUCCGUGUAUCUCUUUCCUUGCUGGCUGCGUGGAGCUGCGCUUGUUUAGGAGAGUCUUCUGAGGGGCCCGUACCUGAACUUGGCGGCAUUCGCGGCCAUACCCGUCGCUUUGCAGUAGGCUUCGAGUAGCCCCAGAAGGCAUUCUGCUCUAUCGUGCCCUGUCGCUACC
RNAcentral lists this long non-coding RNA (226 nucleotides) under Volvox carteri. Its description in RNAcentral is "long non-coding RNA (VCAR_LNC003724)". The record is from RNAcentral. Lineage: Eukaryota; Viridiplantae; Chlorophyta; Chlorophyceae; Chlamydomonadales; Volvocaceae.